CAAACGACUCUCGGCAACGGAUAUCCCGGCUCUCGCAUCGAUGAAGAACGUAGCGAAAUGCGAUACUUGGUGUGAAUUGCAGAAUCCCGUGAACCAUCGAGUUUUUGAACGCAAGUUGCGCCCGAUGCCAUUAGGCUGAGGGCACGUCUGCCUGGGUGUCACGU
This 164-nucleotide ribosomal RNA is filed under the name Bupleurum falcatum. Its description in RNAcentral is "5.8S ribosomal RNA". It matches the Rfam family "5.8S ribosomal RNA". Rfam says of the family: 5.8S ribosomal RNA (5.8S rRNA) is a component of the large subunit of the eukaryotic ribosome. It is transcribed by RNA polymerase I as part of the 45S precursor that also contains 18S and 28S rRNA. Functionally, it is thought that 5.8S rRNA may be involved in ribosome translocation. Lineage: Eukaryota; Viridiplantae; Streptophyta; Magnoliopsida; Apiales; Apiaceae. The record is from RNAcentral. RNAcentral also lists the same sequence under 26 other names.